This 459-nucleotide ribosomal RNA is filed under the name uncultured bacterium. Its description in RNAcentral is "SSU rRNA". It matches the Rfam family "Bacterial small subunit ribosomal RNA", at positions 26 to 518 of the family's 1533-position model. The record is from RNAcentral.
AGAAUCAACGCUGGCGGCGUGCCUAACACAUGCAAGUCGCACGAGAAAGGGUAGCAAUACCCUGAGUAAAGUGGCGCACGGGUGAGUAACACGUGACUAACCUACCCUUGAGUGGGGGAUAACUGAGGGAAACCUUAGCUAAUACCGCAUAAUACCCACGGGUCAAAGGAGCAAUUCGCUCGAGGAGGGGGUCGCGGCCGAUUAGUUAGUUGGCGGGGUAAUGGCCCACCAAGACGAUGAUCGGUAUCCGGCCUGAGAGGGCGCACGGACACACUGGAACUGAAACACGGUCCAGACUCCUACGGGAGGCAGCAGUGGGGAAUUUGCGCAAUGGGGGAAACCCUGACGCAGCAACGCCGCGUGGAGGAUGAAGUCCUUCGGGACGUAAACUCCUUUCGAUCGGGACGAUUAUGACGGUACCGGAAGAAGAAGCCCGGCUAACUUCGCGCCAGCAGCCGC